Molecule: ribosomal RNA, 253 nt
Filed under: uncultured bacterium
Lineage: Bacteria
Description: partial 16S ribosomal RNA
Rfam family: Bacterial small subunit ribosomal RNA
Source: RNAcentral
UACAGAGGCCACAAGCAUUAAUCGGAAUCACUGGGCUUAAAGGGUGCGUAGGUGGAUUUGUAAGCGUCCUGUGAAAGCCCCCGGCUCAACCGGGGAACAGCAGGGCGAACUACAAGUCUUGAGGAAUGUAUGGGCUGUCGGAACAGUAGGUGGAGCGGUGAAAUGCGUAGAUAUCUACUGGAACGCCGAUGGGGAAGCCGGGCAGCUGGGCAUUUCCUGACACUGAGGCACGAAAGCGUGGGGAGCAAACAGG